Molecule: ribosomal RNA, 252 nt
Filed under: uncultured bacterium
Lineage: Bacteria
Description: partial 16S ribosomal RNA
Rfam family: Bacterial small subunit ribosomal RNA
Source: RNAcentral
CGUAGGUGCGAGCGUUGUCCGGAAUUACUGGGCGUAAAGAGCUCGUAGGUGGUUUGUCGCGUUGUUCGUGAAACCGGAGGCUCAACCUCUGGCGUGCGGGCGAUACGGGCAGACUGGAGUACUGCAGGGGAGACUGGAAUUCCUGGUGUAGCGGUGGAAUGCGCAGAUAUCAGGAGGAACACCGGUGGCGAAGGCGGGUCUCUGGGCAGUAACUGACGCUGAGGAGCGAAAGCGUGGGGAGCGAACAGGAUU